CUGUAGAGGUCCAUGAAAAUCCAAGUUCAUUCUAAAAAAGUAAUAGAAAUUUUCAAAGGUGACUUUUUGAAUUUAGUUAGAAGUGAGAAUUCUAUUUUUUAUUAAUUCUCAAACCUGUUCUUAGGGCUAUUCCAGAAAAAACUAUUUCCAUCCCAGGAAUGGCAAUUUCAAAAACUUUAUGCGGGUGGAUGUAUUUGAAAUAAUAAAAAACAAAGGGGUGUUGAUUUAGUUUAUUUUUAUUUCUAUGGAUGGUGAGGGGUAAAAAAAAGUGCCGUCCCUGGGGGGCAUAAUUUUUUCUUGAACAGCCCUUAAUCUUAGUACUUUAUCAUUUUAAGUACCAGUUCAUUUUUAAUAUGAAUAUAUUCUAUAAAAUGGCAAACAAAUGUUUUCAAAAUUGAUAAAAUAUAAUAAGUGAACCUAUAAAAAAAACCACCAAGUUCUAGCAAAGAAGGAAAGAAAGUAAAGAACAAUGAAAAU
RNAcentral lists this long non-coding RNA (477 nucleotides) under Mytilus galloprovincialis (Mediterranean mussel). The record is from RNAcentral. Lineage: Eukaryota; Metazoa; Mollusca; Bivalvia; Mytilida; Mytilidae.